AAGUACAGGAUGCCCAAUGAAU
Molecule: microRNA, 22 nt
Filed under: Bos taurus (domestic cattle)
Lineage: Eukaryota; Metazoa; Chordata; Mammalia; Artiodactyla; Bovidae
Description: bta-miR-10172-5p
Source: miRBase by way of RNAcentral